AUGGAUACUAGGUGUGGGGGGUGUCAACUCCCUCCGUGCCGAAGCUAACGCAUUAAGUAUCCCGCCUGGGGAGUACGGCCGCAAGGCUAAAACUCAAAGGAAUUGACGGGGGCCCGCACAAGCAGCGGAGCAUGUGGUUUAAUUCGACGCAACGCGAAGAACCUUACCUGGGCUUGACAUGUUCUUGAUCGGCGUGGAAACACGUCUUCCCUCACGGGCAAGAUCACAGGUGGUGCAUGGCUGUCGUCAG
Molecule: ribosomal RNA, 250 nt
Filed under: uncultured bacterium
Lineage: Bacteria
Description: partial 16S ribosomal RNA
Rfam family: Bacterial small subunit ribosomal RNA
Source: RNAcentral